ACUUUUAGCAGAGAAACUAAUUUUAACUGUUACACCCCAUAUCUCUUUAUGUAGAUAUUUGGCUCUAUGAAUAUUGAGAAAUAAAAGUAUGAAUGAAAUUGAUGGAAGGGGAAAAAGACAUGGAGGAAAUGAAGCAAAGAAUGAUGUGAAAAAAAAAGUGUACCUUGCUCCACAGCUGCACAGGAAUGAGAAGAAUUUCACAGGAAUAAUGAAGUGGAGGAAUUCCAUGUGAACUGGAACGACCUCCAGGAAUUGAUGCAGAGUGAAAGGAGCAGAACCAGAACGAUGGACACAAAGACUGAAACAUUAUGGUACAAUUAAAUGCAACAGAAUUUUCUACUAAUGGCAAUGCAAUAAUCCAGGACAAUUCUGAAGGACUUGUGGGAAAGAACACUAUCCACAUCCAGAGAAAGAACUGUGGGAGUAGAAACACAGAAGAAAAAUAAAUGCUUUGUCACAUGAAUUGAUGGGGACA
RNAcentral lists this long non-coding RNA (475 nucleotides) under Monodelphis domestica (gray short-tailed opossum). RNAcentral's name for it is "lncRNA (ENSMODG00000041137.1)". Lineage: Eukaryota; Metazoa; Chordata; Mammalia; Didelphimorphia; Didelphidae. The record is from RNAcentral.